GACGAACGCUGGCGGCGUGCCUAAUACAUGCAAGUAGAACGCUGAAGGAGGAGCUUGCUUCUCCGGAUGAGUUGCGAACGGGUGAGUAACGCGUAGGUAACCUGCCUGAUAGCGGGGGAUAACUAUUGGAAACGAUAGCUAAUACCGCAUAAUAGCAGUUAUUGCAUGAUAACUGUUUGAAAGGUGCAAUUGCACCACUACCAGAUGGACCUGCGUUGUAUUAGCUAGUUGGUGGGGUAACGGCUCACCAAGGCGACGAUACAUAGCCGACCUGAGAGGGUGAUCGGCCACACUGGGAUGAGACACGGCCCAGACUCCUACGGGAGGCAGCAGUAGGGAAUCUUCGGCAAUGGACGGAAGUCUGACCGAGCAACGCCGCGUGAGUGAAGAAGGUUUUCGGAUCGUAAAGCUCUGUUGUAAGAGAAGAA
This 428-nucleotide ribosomal RNA is filed under the name Streptococcus mitis. RNAcentral's name for it is "bacterial SSU rRNA". It matches the Rfam family "Bacterial small subunit ribosomal RNA", at positions 28 to 449 of the family's 1533-position model. The record is from RNAcentral. Lineage: Bacteria; Bacillati; Bacillota; Bacilli; Lactobacillales; Streptococcaceae.